Small nuclear RNA from Jaculus jaculus (lesser Egyptian jerboa), 108 nucleotides. Lineage: Eukaryota; Metazoa; Chordata; Mammalia; Rodentia; Dipodidae. The record is from Ensembl.
CUGCUGUCUUUGGCAGCACAUAUACUAAAAUUGAACCGAUGCAGAGAAGAUUAGCAUGGCUCCUGCAACAAAGAUGAAAUGCAAAUUCGUGAAGCAGUCCAUAUUUUA